Molecule: non-coding RNA, 292 nt
Organism: Arachis ipaensis
Lineage: Eukaryota; Viridiplantae; Streptophyta; Magnoliopsida; Fabales; Fabaceae
Source: RefSeq, a predicted model, not a curated record
CGAUCAAAACUAAUGCCCUCUCUCUAACAACUAGAAACCACCAUUUCUAUCCUUCUCGAGUAGGAUCAUCGCCUCAACAUUGUAACGAGCUACAAGACCUUGGAAGAAUCUUAAACCAUCACCACAAAAGUUAGCUCAUACGACGAGAGAGUCCAAACAUAUACUUUCUUUUUAGAGAGGGAGUAGAAGCAAAAAGUUUCAAAAGAAAAAAAAAAGAAAGAAGAAUGCAAGAGGAUGGAGAAGGAAGAAGAGAUUACAUACAAGGACACUGAAGCCAGUAACUUCGGCAAAA